RNAcentral lists this long non-coding RNA (451 nucleotides) under Ixodes scapularis (black-legged tick). RNAcentral describes it as "uncharacterized LOC120849501". The record is from RNAcentral. Lineage: Eukaryota; Metazoa; Arthropoda; Arachnida; Ixodida; Ixodidae.
UAUCACCGUAUGUCAACGGACCGUCAAGGCCUGUUUCAUCGGACCGCUCUGCCGAUCUCUCGGCGUGGAGGAAACGUAAACAAAGGAGCUGUGCGCACCUGCUUUAAACAGAAGGCAGAAAACAAUGAGCCAGCCAUCAUCGUGCAGGAAGCCGACGCCAAAUGGGCUGCUGCUGAAUCGGUCAGGCAUGCACCAGCUAGGACCAAGAAAAUGGAGCAGUGUGCCUCUUCUCAGGAGUGACUGAGGGGCUGCCACAAGGGGAGAAGGCAAGCAUGUUUCUGAUUACAAGGAUGGACAGUUGGGCUGGGCUAGUUGGUAAGAAUUCAUGUUGAGAAACGGUGCGAAAACCAGACAAAGGAAACAGAACACACAGUACCUUGUCCUGUGUGUUUUCUUAUCCGUGCAUUUUGCGCUGUUUUUCAGCAUGUUUCUGCCUUGAUUUUUCUGUUAG